AAAAACUUCCCGAAGUCAGUGGGCUUUGUACAGCUUUGUACAGUUUUGAGAGCUCAUACAUGUGUGUAUACAAAAGAAGCUGUAUCCGCAGGGAGGAAUAAAAACAAUCCCUUAGUGGAGAAAUCUAAUAAAAAUUAAGUGAUUUUCCCUUAUUCUUCCAGGCAUUUAAGGAACUUGACUUUCAGAAAGACUGCUUUUUGGACCUGAAGUUAACACUUUCCUCCUUGGUUAAUGCUGCCCUGUUCUGAACUUCUCUAUUCAAAGUUUGGCAUGAAGACAGCUACUGAGAAUUACCAGUUCCCCUGUCUUGAUGAUACUCAGAUCUAUACAUUUCUCAAUUUGUCCGUUUACCAUUGGAGAAGUUAAAUCAACCCAAAAUCUGUGGGGAAGUUGCAACUGGUCUAAGCCAUUUGUUUACGCUGAAGAAGUUAAAUCCACCCAGGAUCCAUAGGGAAGCUCCGACUGGUCUAAGCCAUUCAUUUACAUUGGAGAAGUUAAAUCCACCCAGGAUCCAUGGGGGAGUUCCGACUGGUCUAAGCCAUUUGGAGUAAUUCGCUGUUCUUGGCAGAGUGAUCAGUGUAGGAGAUAUUUACUGAACACCCGAUUGUGCAGAGUACCCUGGAGGGAAGAGGAAGGUGAACUAGGAACCAUACCUACUCUCAUGGAUGUUAUUUGUGUGCGCUCAGUUUGGAACAUCUGCACCCGUUCUGUAAUCAGAGCAAAUGUUAGCCUAAAGAGGUCUGCUCACAGGGGAGGGAAAAUAAAGAGAACCGUGGAGAAGUACAGCUGGAGCCAUUGUAUUAUGCUAUCUCUGCAACCUGCCUUGUCUCUGGAUUUUUGUUCCCAUGAGCUUCAGGAAUUCUUUCCAUAUCAUCUAUCGCUGAGUUUCUCUUCCCCUCUCCUGAACUGUGAGUCUCAGACCCCGUGCCAGUGAGUGCCAUGUUUGUGUAUGAAGAAAUGAGGGAAUGGAUGGCACCUAGACUUCCCUCCUUUGGAUGCCCAUUAAGGUUUGAGAGCCCCCAGCUGGGCGGGGUUAACCAAGUAUGUGAAAACCUGUGACAUCAAAAGCCUGCCUCCACCUGAAAUCCAAAGUCCUAUUUUGUUAACUCCUAGGUUUAUUUGUGCAGGAAUAAAUCUAUUAAAUAAUAGAUGCA
This 1154-nucleotide long non-coding RNA is filed under the name Felis catus (domestic cat). RNAcentral's name for it is "lncRNA (ENSFCAG00000041080.2)". The record is from RNAcentral. Lineage: Eukaryota; Metazoa; Chordata; Mammalia; Carnivora; Felidae.